CAGAGGGUGCAAGCGUUAAUCGGAGUUACUGGGCGUAAAGCGUGCGUAGUCGGUUAUCUAAGUCGGGUGUGAAAUCCCCGGGCUCAACCUGGGAAUUGCAUUCGAUACUGGAUAGCUAGAGUUCGGCAGAGGGAAGCGGAAUUUCUGGUGUAGCGGUGAAAUGCGUAGAUAUCAGAAGGAACAUCAGUGGCGAAAGCGGCUUCCUGGACCAGAACUGACGAUCAGGCACGAAAGCGUGGGGAGCAAACAGGAUUAGAUACCCUGGUAGUCCACGCCAUAAACGAUGACAACUAGACGUUGGGAACAUAUGGUUCACAGUGUCGCAGCUAACGCGUUAAGUUGUCCGCCUGGGGAGUACGGCCGCAAGGUUG
This 371-nucleotide ribosomal RNA is filed under the name uncultured organism. RNAcentral describes it as "bacterial SSU rRNA". It matches the Rfam family "Bacterial small subunit ribosomal RNA", at positions 526 to 896 of the family's 1533-position model. The record is from RNAcentral.